RNAcentral lists this transfer RNA (77 nucleotides) under Candidatus Methylacidiphilum fumarolicum. RNAcentral's name for it is "tRNA-Arg". It matches the Rfam family "tRNA". From Rfam's summary of the family: Transfer RNA (tRNA) molecules are approximately 80 nucleotides in length. Their secondary structure includes four short double-helical elements and three loops (D, anti-codon, and T loops). RNAcentral also lists the same sequence under 2 other names. The record is from RNAcentral. Lineage: Bacteria; Pseudomonadati; Verrucomicrobiota; Methylacidiphilae; Methylacidiphilales; Methylacidiphilaceae.
GGUCCCGUAGCUCAGAAGGAUAGAGCAGCGCUUUCCUAAAGCGCGGGUCGGCAGUUCGAAUCUGCCCGGGACCGCCA